This 660-nucleotide ribosomal RNA is filed under the name Escherichia coli. RNAcentral describes it as "bacterial SSU rRNA". It matches the Rfam family "Bacterial small subunit ribosomal RNA", at positions 1 to 650 of the family's 1533-position model. The record is from RNAcentral. Lineage: Bacteria; Pseudomonadati; Pseudomonadota; Gammaproteobacteria; Enterobacterales; Enterobacteriaceae.
AAAUUGAAGAGUUUGAUCAUGGCUCAGAUUGAACGCUGGCGGCAGGCCUAACACAUGCAAGUCGAACGGUAACAGGAAACAGCUUGCUGUUUCGCUGACGAGUGGCGGACGGGUGAGUAAUGUCUGGGAAACUGCCUGAUGGAGGGGGAUAACUACUGGAAACGGUAGCUAAUACCGCAUAACGUCGCAAGACCAAAGAGGGGGACCUUCGGGCCUCUUGCCAUCGGAUGUGCCCAGAUGGGAUUAGCUAGUAGGUGGGGUAACGGCUCACCUAGGCGACGAUCCCUAGCUGGUCUGAGAGGAUGACCAGCCACACUGGAACUGAGACACGGUCCAGACUCCUACGGGAGGCAGCAGUGGGGAAUAUUGCACAAUGGGCGCAAGCCUGAUGCAGCCAUGCCGCGUGUAUGAAGAAGGCCUUCGGGUUGUAAAGUACUUUCAGCGGGGAGGAAGGGAGCAAAGUUAAUACCUUUGCUCAUUGACGUUACCCGCAGAAGAAGCACCGGCUAACUCCGUGCCAGCAGCCGCGGUAAUACGGAGGGUGCAAGCGUUAAUCGGAAUUACUGGGCGUAAAGCGCACGCAGGCGGUUUGUUAAGUCAGAUGUGAAAUCCCCGGGCUCAACCUGGGAACUGCAUCUGAUACUGGCAAGCUUGAGUCUC